Molecule: ribosomal RNA, 251 nt
Filed under: uncultured bacterium
Lineage: Bacteria
Description: partial 16S ribosomal RNA
Rfam family: Bacterial small subunit ribosomal RNA
Source: RNAcentral
UACGGAGGGUGCGAGCGUUGUCCGGAAUCACUGGGCGUAAAGGGCGCGUAGGCGGCGCGGGAAGUCAUCGGUGAAAGUUCAGGGCUCAACUCUGAAUCGGCCGGUGAUACUCUCGUGCUUGAGCACUGUAGAGGCAGGUGGAAUUCCGGGUGUAGCGGUGGAAUGCGUAGAGAUCCGGAAGAACACCGGUGGCGAAGGCGGCCUGCUGGGCAGUAGCUGACGCUGAUGCGCGACAGCGUGGGAGCAACAGG